GCACGCCCUCUGACCAUGUGGAGGACGUGGCAUACGGCUCAGUAACACGUAGUCAACCUGCCCUGCCGACGCGGAUAACCCCGGGAAACUGGGACUAACCCGCGAUAGGCCACGCCGCCUGGAACGGGGCGUGGCUCAAAGAGCGGCGUCGCAUGUGGCGCCAGUUGCGGCAGGAUGGGACUGCGGCCGAUCAGGCCGUUGGCGGGGUAACGGCCCACCAAACCUGUAACCGGUACGGGCUUUGAGAGAAGGAGCCCGGAGAUGGACACUGAGAUAAGGGUCCAGGCCCUACGGGGCGCAGCAGGCGCGAAACCUUCGCAAUCCGCGCCAGCGGGACGAGGUCACUCCGAGUGCCCUCCGCUGAGGAGGGCUUUUCCCCGCUCUAAAUCGGCGGGGGAAUAAGGGGAGGGCAAGCCUGGUGUCAGCCGCCGCGGUAAUACCAGCUCCUCGAGUGGUCGGGGUGUUUAUUGGGCCUAAAGCAUCCGUAGCCGGCUCCGGCCGUCUUCGGACAAAUCCACCGGCCCAACCGGUGGACCGCCGGAGAUACCCCGGGGCUAGGAGGCGGGAGAGGCGGACGGUACUCCGCGGGUAGGGGUAAAAUCCACUGAUCCGCGGAGGACCACCAGUGGCGAAGGCGGUCCGCCAGAACGCGCUCGACGGUGAGGGAUGAAAGCUGGGGGAGCGAACCGGAUUAGAUACCCGGGUAGUCCCAGCUGUAAACGAUGCAGACUCGGUGAUG
This 739-nucleotide ribosomal RNA is filed under the name uncultured archaeon. RNAcentral's name for it is "bacterial SSU rRNA". It matches the Rfam family "Archaeal small subunit ribosomal RNA", at positions 53 to 776 of the family's 1478-position model. The record is from RNAcentral.